This 1774-nucleotide long non-coding RNA is filed under the name Cotesia glomerata. Its description in RNAcentral is "uncharacterized LOC123265795". The record is from RNAcentral. Lineage: Eukaryota; Metazoa; Arthropoda; Insecta; Hymenoptera; Braconidae.
GGUUAUAUUCUGAAAAAAAUUAUGGAGUAAAAAAACUUGAUGAGAGCUAUGCUGCCCUAGAGAAUAAGUUCCAAUCACAAUUUGGAAUAGUACCUGAAUCUACCUACAGAAAGAUUAAUCAAGAUCAUUGUUCCAUGAUAGCUAAAGUGAAGAAAUUAUAUAACGCUGAAAGUGACAAAUCAAUAAAAAAGAAGCUGCUUCCAAUUUCACCCGACAGUUGGGAAGUCAGUCGUAUAAUAUCUGAAUUUAACUGUUCUCGAAAAAUGGUACUGAAUCUUAAAAAUGAUAUCAGUGAAUCUGAGAAUGUUGAUUUAGACUCUGGUGAAAUGACUACUAAUACUUUGAAUCCCACCAAAGUUCCAGGCAAUCAGCCGCUUAAGUUAGAUGUAAAAAAACUUAUCAUUGAUUUUUAUGAAAGCGAAGAAAACUCAAAACAAUUAGCGGGCAUGAAAGAUUUUAAAUCUGUGAAGGAUUGUGAUGGAAAUCGAACUAGGGCACAAAAAAGUUGAUUCUUUGUAAUUUAAAAGAAUUGUACCAAAGCUUCAUAGCGCAAUAUAAUUCAGUGGCAAUCGGAUUUUCUAAAUUCGCUAGUUUGAGGCCUACUUAUUGUAUUCUUGCUGGAAGUAGUGGUACACAUGUCGUAUGUGUUUGUACUAUUCAUCAAAAUGUAAAAUUGAUGUUAGAAGGAUGUAAUUUUCAAAGUUUGCGAAAAACACCGAUUGGGUUGUAGAAUCUCAGCCAAUUUACAAAAAUUUAUUAAAUAAAUUAGUUUGUAACAAUCCAAAAGAAUCGUGCUUUUCCAGAAUGUGCAAUAGUUGUCCAAAUAAUGAAGAAAUCGCUGAUUAUUUUCGUGUGUCAUUUAAUAAAUCUGAUGUUAAUGAAAUCCAAUAUAAAAUGUGGACAUCAACAGACCGUUGCACUAUUGUGAAUGUUACUUCAGAUUCCGAAGACUUCAUCGAGACUUUAGUGACGCAACUUGAUAAGCUUUUGAAACAUGAUUUUAUUGCGAAAACACAAAGUCGAUUUUUUUCUGAUACAAAACUAAAUUUAAAGACCGGGGAAUUCACCGUAGUAUUUGACUUUGCGUAAAAUUAUGCAUUCGUUGUGCAGGAAGCAGCUCAAGGCUUUCAUUGGAAUAAUGAUCAAGCUACGAUAUUUCCAAUGGUGAUUUAUUAUAACGAAAAUGAUACUUUUAAGCAUUUGAGCUUUGUUGGUAUUUCAGAUUGUCUUAAGCACGACACAGUUUUAAUUUAUUUAUUUCAAGAGCAAUUGAUUGCCUUUCUUAAAAAGAAGUUUGCUGUCAUCAAUACGAUUUUUUACUUCUCUGAUGGAGCUCCACAACAAUUCAAAAACAAGAAAGCAUAAUUUACAAACUUAUAUUAUCAUUAUGCUGACUUCGAAAUCAACGCUGAGUGGCAUUUUUUUGCAACUGCCCAUGGCAAAGGACCAUGCGAUGGUCUUGCGGGUUCAUUAAAACGAUAUGCUGCUAGAGCUUCAUUACAAAUGAACAAUAAAGAGCAUAUACUGAAACCACAAGAUUUGUUUUCCUGGGGAACGAAAAAUUUUACAAGGGUUGACUUUACUUUUAUAGCUAAUGACGAUUAUUUAAUAAAAAAAAAUGUGUUAGACGUACGAUAUUCUCAAUCGAAAACGGUGAAAGGUACACAGUCAUUACACACUUUUGUGCCUUUAAAAGAUGAAAUUGGUUAUGCUUUCAUUAAAACUGUGUCCACAUCUCAAAAAAGUUCAAAAAUAAAAGUAUUUUAAUUAUAAU